This 422-nucleotide long non-coding RNA is filed under the name Equus caballus (horse). RNAcentral's name for it is "lncRNA (ENSECAG00000055135.1)". The record is from RNAcentral. Lineage: Eukaryota; Metazoa; Chordata; Mammalia; Perissodactyla; Equidae.
CUCCCAGUUUGCUGAGGUGAAAAUCAGACUGUCAGCCCUGUGAAUCCUUCAAAGCCAGCUUUCAGGCAGCCCCCAAGGCCUGAAAGUUCCACUCAGUAAGUUGCUCUUCUGCCUUAAAUCUGGAGGCAACACAGCGUGGUGGGAAGAACACUGAACUUGGAGUCAUUCAUUCAUCGAAUGCCUGCCAGGGCCCCAGUCUCCUACUUACUGGGUAGACCUGGGCUCUUGGACUUUCACUUCCCUGUAAGACAGGGUGACAAUACUUGCUCUGCCUACAUCAUACCACACCGUUGUGAAGACGAAAUGAAACACUGCUUUCGAAGGUACCUGGAACCAGGAAGCCCUACUGGAUGGCCUCUGAAAUUGCCUGUGGAUCCUAAUCUGGCUCUACAGCGUUCCCGUCCCCACUGCAGUCCCCACUC